Molecule: ribosomal RNA, 253 nt
Filed under: uncultured bacterium
Lineage: Bacteria
Description: partial 16S ribosomal RNA
Rfam family: Bacterial small subunit ribosomal RNA
Source: RNAcentral
GACGUAGGGUGCGAGCGUUGUCCGGAAUUAUUGGGCGUAAAGAGCUCGUAGGCGGUUUGUCACGUCUGCUGUGAAAUCCCGAGGCUCAACCUCGGGCCUGCAGUGGGUACGGGCAGACUGGAGUGCGGUAGGGGAGAAUGGAAUUCCUGGUGUAGCGGUGGAAUGCGCAGAUAUCAGGAGGAACACCGAUGGCGAAGGCAGUUCUCUGGGCCGUAACUGACGCUGAGGAGCGAAAGCGUGGGGAGCGAACAGG